Molecule: ribosomal RNA, 260 nt
Filed under: uncultured bacterium
Lineage: Bacteria
Description: partial small subunit ribosomal RNA
Rfam family: Bacterial small subunit ribosomal RNA
Source: RNAcentral
AGGACGAACGCUGGCGGCGUGCCUAACACAUGCAAGUCGAACGCGCUCCAUUCGGUAGCAAUACUGAUGAAGAGUGAGUGGCGAACGGGUGAGUAGCACGUGAGCAACCUGCCCCGAAGACUGGGACAACACCGGGAAACCGGUGCUAAUACCGGAUACCCUUAUUGGACCGCAUGAUCCGAUAAGGAAAUGGAUUCCGCUUCGGGAGGGGCUCGCGGCCUAUCAGCUUGUUGGUGGGGUAACGGCCUACCAAGGCGACG